AUUGAACGCUGGCGGCAUGCCUUACACAUGCAAGUCGAACGGUAACAGGUCUUCGGAUGCUGACGAGUGGCGAACGGGUGAGUAAUACAUCGGAACGUGCCCGAUCGUGGGGGAUAACGAGGCGAAAGCUUUGCUAAUACCGCAUACGAUCUACGGAUGAAAGCGGGGGAUCUCCGGCCCUGGCGGGGACGGAGCGGCCGAGGGCGGAUUAGGUAGUUGGUGGGAUAAAAGCUUACCAAGCCGACGAUCUGUAGCUGGUCUGAGAGGAUGAUCAGCCACACUGGGACUGAGACACGGCCCAGACUCCUACGGGAGGCAGCAGUGGGGAAUUUUGGACAAUGGGCGAAAGCCUGAUCCAGCCAUGCCGCGUGCAGGAUGAAGGCCUUCGGGUUGUAAACUGCUUUUGUACGGAACGAAAAGCCUCUUUCUAAUAAAGAGGGGUCAGGACGGUACCGUAAGAAUAAACACCGGCUAACUACGU
This 481-nucleotide ribosomal RNA is filed under the name uncultured bacterium. RNAcentral describes it as "partial 16S ribosomal RNA". It matches the Rfam family "Bacterial small subunit ribosomal RNA", at positions 30 to 506 of the family's 1533-position model. The record is from RNAcentral.